Molecule: long non-coding RNA, 333 nt
Organism: Ailuropoda melanoleuca (giant panda)
Lineage: Eukaryota; Metazoa; Chordata; Mammalia; Carnivora; Ursidae
Exons: 3
Source: RefSeq, a predicted model, not a curated record
CUUGGAAAUCACUUCUUGAAUAUAGUGGAGCCAGGGGGGUUGAAGGAGCCAGGUUCCUGAAUCACCAUUUGGAGGAGAGCCACCUUCCACUCAGGAACUCCUAUGCUGGACUUAGGUUUUCUGUUACAGGCAGCUGAUCGUCACCCUAACAGACAUAUUUAGGGGUGUCUAGAUGGACAAGAGGGAGGAUUGGAGCUGGCUACUCCCUGCUUCUUGGCUUGGGUGACCCUGUGCAUGGUGGUCCUAUUCAGUGAGAAAGUACACACAAGAGGAAAAACAAGAAGGGAAUCAUCAAGUAGUGGACAGAGCAUGGAUCUAAGACUUAGACCAAAC